AUAGUUUCAGUACUACACCUUAUCAUGAUACAAAGGCAACUAUGUAGCUAGCUAACAUAACACUAAUCAAGACGUUCCUUUGUAAUGUAUUUAGUUUCUACAAUGCUGCUCGUCGGUAAUAGUUGGCUAGGUUUGGAAAUGGCGUCGCGGGGGACGAAAAUAGCUGGCCAGCUAACCUCGAUAAUUACUCGAAACUACACAAUUAUCAAGCUAUGACAAACUAUGACAAAGACAACUUAUUGACUAAAAUGACUAAAAUUAUACAGUACUGUUGGCUGGUAAAGUAGGCUAGCUAGCAGUGGCUGCGUUGUUGACUUUGUUUGAAAGUGUAGCUGGCUAGGUAACCUCGAUAGUUUCAGUACUACACCUCAUCAUGAUACAAAGGCAACUAUGUAGCUAGCUAACACUAGCUAACCUGGCUAGCUAACCUCGAUAAUUACUCUAAACUACACAAUUAUCUUAGAUACAAAGACAGCAAAGACAACUAUCUAGCUAGCAGUUGUUGACUAAGUAGGAGAACGGUGGCGCGGCGCGGCGGACGAAAAUAGCUGGCUAGCUAACCUCGAUAAUUACUCUAAACUACACAAUUAUCUUAGAUACAAAGACAGCAAAGACAACUAUGUAGCUAGCUAACACUACACUAAUCAAAUCGUUCCGUUGUAAUGUAUUAGUUUCUACAGUGCUGCUAGUCGGUAAAAGUUGGCUAGCUAGCUAGCAGUUGUUGACUAAGUAGGAGAACGGUGGCGUGGCGUGGCGGACAAAAAUAGCUGGCUAGCUAACCUCGAUAAUUACUCUAAACUACACAAUUAUCUUUGAUACAAAGACAGCUAAGAAGCUAGCUAAAAAAUUGCUCAGAUCAAACAAAUCAAACCGUUGUAAUGUAAUGAGAUGUAAUAUUACCUGCGGAGCGGAGUGCAGCACGACUACUCGCUCCAAACCCGGAAGAGUAUUCACCCCCUUGGCAUUUUUCCUAUUUUGUUAGGAAAAAUGGGGGGUUGUAUCAUUUGAUUUACACAACAUGCCUACCACUUUGGUAGAUGCUAAAUAUUUUUUAUUGUGAGACAAACAAGACAAAAAAAACAGAACUUGAGUGUGCAUAACUAUUCACUCCCCCAAAGUCAAUACUUUGUAGAGCAACCUUUUGCAGCAAUUACAGCUGUCUCUUGAGGUACGUCUCUAUAAGCUUGGCAUUCGAGGUCGACCGAUUAUUGGAGGGCCAAAAAAUCCGAUACCGAUUAAUCGGACAAUUUCUUUUUAUUUAUUUGUAAUAAUGACAAUUACAACAAUACUGAAUGAACACUUAUUUUAACUUAAUAUAAUAAAUACAUCAAUAAAAUCAAUUUAGCCUCAAAUAAAUAAUGAAACUUGUUCAAUUUGGUUUAAAUAAUGCAAAAACAAAGUGUUUGAGAAUAAAGUAAAAGUGCCAUGUGCCAUGUAAAAAAGCUAACGUUUAAGUUCCUUGCUCAGAACAUGAGAACAUAUGAAAGCUGUUGGAGGUUCUUAUAGGCACUUUAGUAUUGCCAGUGUAACAGUAUAGCUUCCGUCCCUCUCCUCGCCCCUACCUCAAAUCACAUUUAUUUUUAUAUAGCCCUUCGUACAUCAGCUGAUAUUCUCAAAGUGCUGU
RNAcentral lists this long non-coding RNA (1624 nucleotides) under Salmo salar (Atlantic salmon). RNAcentral describes it as "lncRNA (ENSSSAG00000114257.1)". The record is from RNAcentral. Lineage: Eukaryota; Metazoa; Chordata; Actinopteri; Salmoniformes; Salmonidae.